CCCUUAGAUGUUCUGGGCUGCACACGCGCUACACUGAAGGGAUCAGCGUGUUCUUUUCCUGGUCCGAAAGGAUCGGGUAACCCGCUGAACUCCCUUCGUGGUAGGGAUCGGAGCUUGCAAUUAUUCUCCGUGAACCAGGAAUUCCCAGUAAGCGCAAGUCAUAAGCUUGCGUUGAUUACGUCCCUGCCCUUUGUACACACCGCCCGUCGCUACUACCGAUUGGACGUUUUAGUGAGGAUUUUGGACUGAGCCAAUGGUGGUUCACACCACUGUUGUGCAUGGAAAGAUCUCCAAACUUGAGCGUUUAGAGGAAGUAAAAGUCGUAACA
Molecule: ribosomal RNA, 328 nt
Filed under: uncultured eukaryote
Lineage: Eukaryota
Description: partial 18S ribosomal RNA
Rfam family: Eukaryotic small subunit ribosomal RNA
Source: RNAcentral